GUGGGGAAUAUUGGACAAUGGGCGAAAGCCUGAUCCAGCCAUGCCGCGUGUGUGAAGAAGGUCUUCGGAUUGUAAAGCACUUUAAGUUGGGAGGAAGGGCAGUAAGUUAAUACCCUGCUGUUUUGACGUUACCAACAGAAUAAGCACCGGCUAACUUCGUGCCAGCAGCCGCGGUAAUACGAAGGGUGCAAGCGUUAAUCGGAAUUACUGGGCGUAAAGCGCGCGUAGGUGGUUCAGCAAGUUGGAGGUGAAAUCCCCGGGCUCAACCUGGGAACUGCCUCCAAAACUACUGAGCUAGAGUACGGUAGAGGGUAGUGGAAUUUCCUGUGUAGCGGUGAAAUGCGUAGAUAUAGGAAGGAACACCAGUGGCGAAGGCGACUACCUGGACUGAUACUGACACUGAGGUGCGAAAGCGUGGGGAGCAAACAGGAUUAGAAACCCGUGUAGUCC
This 450-nucleotide ribosomal RNA is filed under the name uncultured bacterium. RNAcentral describes it as "partial 16S ribosomal RNA". It matches the Rfam family "Bacterial small subunit ribosomal RNA", at positions 354 to 796 of the family's 1533-position model. The record is from RNAcentral.